Molecule: ribosomal RNA, 229 nt
Filed under: uncultured bacterium
Lineage: Bacteria
Description: partial 16S ribosomal RNA
Rfam family: Bacterial small subunit ribosomal RNA
Source: RNAcentral
UGCGCAGGCGGGCUUGUAAGUCAGUGGUGAAAUACUGCCGCUUAACGGUAGAACUGCCAUUGAUACUGCAAGUCUUGAAUAUGGUUGAGGUAGGCGGAAUGUGUCGUGUAGCGGUGAAAUGCAUAGAUAUGACACAGAACGCCGAUUGCGAAGGCAGCUUACUAAGCCAUUAUUGACGCUGAGGCACGAAAGCGUGGGGAGCGAACAGGAUUAGAUACCCUGGUAGUCC